Molecule: small nuclear RNA, 191 nt
Organism: Sabethes cyaneus
Lineage: Eukaryota; Metazoa; Arthropoda; Insecta; Diptera; Culicidae
Product: U4 spliceosomal RNA
Exons: 1
Source: RefSeq, a predicted model, not a curated record
AGUUUUGCGCAGUGGCGAUAUCGUAUAACCAGUGACGUUCCACGGAGGUGCAUUUAUUGCUUGUUGAAAAUUAGUCAAUCUCAAUUUGUAGCAACAUCAUUUUAGUUGCUUCCUGUGACAGUAAAACCGAUUGAUAAUAACUUUUUUUCUACAAAACACUUUGCUUUGAUAAAUUUUUGUUGGCGAGCUAA